Molecule: unclassified non-coding RNA, 205 nt
Filed under: uncultured Basidiomycota
Lineage: Eukaryota; Fungi; Basidiomycota
Also listed under: 1 other name
Description: sequence contains ITS2
Source: RNAcentral
AGCUAUCAAACAUCUAGUUCUUAAUUAGAUGGUUGGAUUUGGACUCUGCUGUGUAACAAACGGCUGGCCCAAAAUUUAUUAGCUGAUCCUAGUGAGACUUGGUUCUACUCGGCGUGAUAAUUAUCUAACGUUGAGGACAUCGCAAGAUGGCCAGAUCAAACUUUGUGGAUUGCUUCUAAUCGUCCUCACAGACAAUUUAUUAUCA